UUGGUGGAAGAUGUAAUUAAUAAAGCAUUUAAAGAUAAGACUGUAAUUAAUGCAAUCUUACUGACAAGGGGAUUGCAAUUUCAGACUGGGACACAUAGUUGACAGGGAGUAACCAGGAGCAAUCUGUUCAAAACUGUGGGACAGAAGGAGGAACUUCCGAAUUCAGUGAUGAGUUUUCAGCACUACUAAGUAAGAACAGGAGCUCCCAGCAACAUCACUUUGGACAUCCGAGCACAUGGACAGAACGUGGUGAAGGAGCCCUGGGGAGGGAGGGCAAUGGAGAAGACCUGCCCAAUAUUUCACCACUUUCUCGUGCAGGGCUGUCCUUUCCCUGAUGCUGCAGCUUGAUGCCCUGACCAAUAGAAGCCCCUGCUGUAAGAUCCAAAGACAAAUGGAGAAGCAGUUCCCAAACCUGGAGAGAAGUCCUGUUUGACCAACAGUCAGGUAACAGCCCUGACAGAACGUGUCAACAUGGUGCUGUAG
RNAcentral lists this long non-coding RNA (483 nucleotides) under Chrysolophus pictus (golden pheasant). RNAcentral's name for it is "lncRNA (ENSCPIG00010009761.1)". The record is from RNAcentral. Lineage: Eukaryota; Metazoa; Chordata; Aves; Galliformes; Phasianidae.